Molecule: long non-coding RNA, 745 nt
Organism: Bos taurus (domestic cattle)
Lineage: Eukaryota; Metazoa; Chordata; Mammalia; Artiodactyla; Bovidae
Source: Ensembl
GUGAGCACUAGAAGGGAUUUGGAGACCUCCAGCCCGGCCUCCUCUUGCUCUAUAGAUGGGAGGCCGGGGCCUGGAGAGGCUCACUCAGGGUUUCACAGUCAAGAACCAGAACCCCAACCUGUGCGGGCUUGCUUCCUCCCUCUUUUUCUCUCACCCUGCAGCCAGAAACAGCUCCUCCACUUCCCAGUCACCAUCUGAGAAAGAACCAGCCACAGGGCUGUACUCUAAUUGGGGAUGGAGGAUAGGACGUGGUUUGUCUCAGUUUCCAGAGUGGCUCAUGAGCUAUAAACCCCAAGCAAUGGGUUCAUGCCUCAGCUUACUCUGUGGCUUAUAAUUACCUAUGAGUCUGCCUUCCUUGCCAAACUGAGUUCCUUCAGGGCACAGACCAUGCCUUACUCAUCUUUGGGACCACAGUGCUGGCCUAAAGCCUUCCCAGAGCCUCUGUCCCUUCAUGGCUGCAAAGACUCUAAACCAGCAUGUCCCGAGCUCCUCAUCCUCCUCCCAGUCAGGCCCCUGACACAGGGAGUCCACUUACUCCUCUCGACAACCUGGUGAAGGAGACGGUGUUGGCCCGAUCCUACAGAUCAAGCCUCCGUGACUCAGUGCUCAGCUCACCCAUUAAGUGCCAGAGCCAGUGUGGCCUCCGGAGACCUUCGUGGUGCUCCAGAGCAGCUAAACCACAGCAUCUGGCUUGUUGCUGGGACUCUGGUGCUUUGGGCCACUCUUCCCCCCAUCCCCCCACCAC